UACAGCGGGUGCAAGCGUUAAUCGGAAUUACUGGGCGUACAGCGUGCGUAGGUGGUUUACUACGUCAGGUGUGAAAGCCCCGGGCUUAACCUGGGAACUGCGUUGGAAACUGAAAGACUAGAGUGCGGCAGAGGGGGGUAGAAUUCCACGUGUAGCAGUGAAAUGCGUAGAUAUGUGGAGGAAUACCGAUGGCGAAGGCAGCCCCCUGGGUCGACACUGACGCUCAUGCACGAAAGCGUGGGUAGCAAACAGG
Molecule: ribosomal RNA, 253 nt
Filed under: uncultured bacterium
Lineage: Bacteria
Description: partial 16S ribosomal RNA
Rfam family: Bacterial small subunit ribosomal RNA
Source: RNAcentral